AGCCAUAUCACAUUGAAUCCCUGUUUCUCGUAUGAUCACUGAAGUUAAACAACAUCAAGCCUGGUCAGUACCUAGAUGGGUGACCACUUGGGAAUACCAGGUGUUAU
Molecule: non-coding RNA, 107 nt
Organism: Acanthosepion pharaonis
Lineage: Eukaryota; Metazoa; Mollusca; Cephalopoda; Sepiida; Sepiidae
Source: the annotation of a GenBank genome assembly